UACGGGGGGGGCAAGCGUUGUUCGGAAUUACUGGGCGUAAAGGGUGUGCAGGCGGGGAAGCAAGUGGUGUAUGAAAUCUCCCAGCUUAACUGGGAUAGGUUAUGCCAGACUGCUUUUCUAGAGGACGAGAGAGGGGGGUGGAAUUCCGGGUGUAGUGGUGAAAUGCGUAGAGAUCCGGAGGAACCCCAGAGGCGAAGGCGGCCCCCUGGCUCGUACCUGACGCUCAGCCACGAAAGCAUGGGGAGCGAACGGG
Molecule: ribosomal RNA, 253 nt
Filed under: uncultured bacterium
Lineage: Bacteria
Description: partial 16S ribosomal RNA
Rfam family: Bacterial small subunit ribosomal RNA
Source: RNAcentral